CGGACCCCUUCUCUCACCACCUGGCUUCUUCCCUCCCUACACAGGUUUCUUCCCUUACCACUCAGGACUUCCCUUACCACCACAGACUUCUUCCCUCAUUGCCCUGGUUUCCCUCAACAGUUCCAGACUGCAACCAUCACUUUGAUGAGACUGGGACUCUCACCACCAAGACCACAAAAGGAGGAUCAACGAGAUGCCAUUGGAAUCCAUAGAAUGAAACCAAGAGGAGGAAAGAUCACAUGCCAGGAACACAAUUAAAUUCAGUCAACCAGUUAGAUGAUCAAUUAGACAACAUAGCAAGGUCGAACAGAUCAAUGGUUCUAUCUUCAAAUGAAAACAACAUUUGCAUCUUUAAGCUUCUUAUCUGUCAGGGACAGUUCCUAAUGGACAAAUACCUGUGUGGCAGCUGGAUCACCAAUGGCAUCUGCGGGUUGUUUUAGGAGUGGUGAAAGGAGUCACUGCAUUUACUAGGACUGAUCCACCACAGUCUCAGGAGAUCCUGUGAUAUGUGUGUUCUUCUCAGAAUCUAUAGAUCAUCUUACUUUGUGUGCAACUCAAAGUUUGCUGCUCUUAAAACUGAACUGAACUUGAAGUAGAAGGUCAGAAAGCAUAAAGGAGGAAGAGACUUCUUAGGAAAGACUGUUUCAGCAUGGAAUAAAAGUGUGUCUUGCAGUAUCAAAGGAUUUUAUUCCUUAAAAUAAAGAAGCAAGUCCUCAGGAAAGAGGAAAGUGCACUGCCACUUUCCAAGCUAUUUUCAGAAUGUGGAAAAGAAGGAUCCAUUCCAAGGGAAGAAAACCAGCUGGAGCCACAGCUGCACUUGCAGCAGAUGUCAAAGCCAUACUGCUCAUUGCCUUUAGGUGUGUAUGAAAAAUCCUAUUUACAUGGAGAAGCAAGACACUAAUAUGAUGGUGUCUGAGCUAUGGAAACU
Pipra filicauda (Wire-tailed manakin) is the source of this 928-nucleotide long non-coding RNA. RefSeq lists it as uncharacterized. The record is from RefSeq and is a predicted model, not a curated record. NCBI's taxonomy places the organism in Eukaryota, Metazoa, Chordata, Aves, Passeriformes, Pipridae. The transcript is spliced from 4 exons.